ACACGUCAUACAAUGGUCGGUACAGAGGGUUGCCAAGCCGCGAGGUGGGAGCCAAUCCCUUAAAGCCGAUCGUAGUCCGGAUCGUAGUCUGCAACUCGACUACGUGAAGUCGGAAUCGCUAGUAAUCGCAGAUCAGCAUGCUGCGGUGAAUACGUUCCCGGGUCUU
This 166-nucleotide ribosomal RNA is filed under the name uncultured Thauera sp. Its description in RNAcentral is "partial 16S ribosomal RNA". It matches the Rfam family "Bacterial small subunit ribosomal RNA", at positions 1218 to 1382 of the family's 1533-position model. The record is from RNAcentral. Lineage: Bacteria; Pseudomonadati; Pseudomonadota; Betaproteobacteria; Rhodocyclales; Zoogloeaceae.